This is a long non-coding RNA of Lytechinus variegatus (green sea urchin), 2518 nucleotides long. RefSeq lists it as uncharacterized. The record is from RefSeq and is a predicted model, not a curated record. NCBI's taxonomy places the organism in Eukaryota, Metazoa, Echinodermata, Echinoidea, Temnopleuroida, Toxopneustidae. The transcript is spliced from 4 exons.
ACAGGGCUCUCCGACCAUUUGAGACGUUUAAAUCACAUCGUCUGAAAACAGACUAUCUCCAACUAACUUGCCAACAUGUAUCAUAAAACAACAACAGUGGCUCUAGCUGUUCUACUCAUUGCCUUAGUUUCAUUCUCAGAUGCUACAAAUUACUGGAGAAUCGCAAAAGGCAGAAACGCUCGAUACACAGCCAGAUCACCAAGGCUGUACGACUCACUGAAGAACACACAGGUUAAAAGAUAUGGUGGUAUUGACGAUGUGGAAGCGGCGGAGAAUACCAUUGAUAAUUGGCUAAGAGAUUGGAUCAUCUCAAACAGGAAUUUCAUCAGAGGCACUAUUUUUGACGACACCUUCACAAAUGAAGUAUGAAGCCUUUCAAUCUCCCGCAUUUUCUUUUUCUUGAGUUCUGAGACCAACCAGUCUAUGCCUGUUUUCCCAAAUGCCACCGUGGUUCACGACGCUCCCUUUUUUUUCUCAAAGAUGAAGGGCGACCCCAUCACACCAUAUAUACAUGUAGUUCAUCACUUCUUCCAACGCCAGGAAACAUUACAUUACUAUUACAUUACAUUUGCAUCACACAUAUUUUAUAUUCAUGAUUAGUAGUUGCAUUUUACAGAAUAAAUGAUCUUUUUAAAAACAUGUGCUCACUCAAAUACUGUAAUUUGAAACAUGCAUGAUUUAGCGCAAAGUAAUAAUCUUUUUAUCAACUAUAAUUUUAUCUAAAAGAUGUAUACUGACACUCCCGUUUCGUUAAAUAUUUUUUUUUUGUCAUUACAAUGUAAUUUUACUUAAACAUAAUUUAGAUACUGAAGACCAACGCCUUUGUCUACAAUGUUUUUUUUAUAUCAGUGAUCGUUUAUUUACCAGUUGGUUUUGAUAAUUUUUAUUUUCCGUAUGAUUUAUAUAUUUAAAAGAAACUUGACCGUUUAAAUUAAAGUCGAUCAUUGUAUCUUUCAACUCAUAUGUUCAAAUACGUUCAAAUGUUUACUCUAAGACUAAAGCUAUUACAAACCACCAGUCUGUGAUGGGCUUAGUGAAGCUUUCCAUAGACCAAGCUCGUGAAUUUGAAAUUAUGUGUUGUGAUUAGUCAAUACCCUAAAAACGACGAAAGAUAAUAUGUUCAGCUACGACAUUGGGUAAUAUUCUAAGGUAUGAAGGUGGAACCUAUUAAGACAUUAAUCCACUGAUGCAUUUGAUUGUACUCAUAAUUAUGAGAGUCAAAAGGGGCCUAAGCUUUCGAUCCUAGCAGAAUCUUCUUCGGAGGCAAAAUGACCAUACUCAUAAUUAUGUGACAGUGUCAUAGUAUGCAUGUUAUCGCAUCCCUAUAAGAGUAUCCCUGUAGCGUGAAAUGUUGAUUGGAUAAGAAAGAUUGCACAUUUAUGAUUAGGAGUGUGGCUGUUCUGUUCCUACCAUUACCCCUGAUUACAUUUUAUAUAUUACAAUUAAAACACAACUUCAUCUGAAUGAAUUUUGGAAAUUACAAUCGAUGCGUUAAACAUCGAAACUUAUAGGCAAAACUUAUUUGGAGAAUGCGUAGUUUGAAAUAUUCAUAGGACAAUAAAGAAAUUGUAGAAAAGGGUAAUUUCAUUCUCAGAUCGAGAUGGGGAUAGGUAUCAGCCCAGUGUUUAUUUUUAUUUUGUUUACAUAUAAUAUUUUAGAAACUCUCGCUCUCAACCUGUAAUCAUACAGUCACUAAAAAUAAAAUCCAGUGUCUUAAAUCAUUCUGAAUCAUAAUCAGUCCUAUCAGCCGGUGGGAUAUUGAGAUUUCAUAUAAAUUAUUUCAAAUUCUAUAUGGAUUUUAACGCCCUAUAUUGUCACUCGGCCUUAAACCCACCUGAUCUGACCCCAUUCUCCAUUGCCCCCCUCCCCCUGCCACGCCCCCGUUCUCCUCCCCUCUCCCUCACACACUUCCUAUCCAUUUAUUCUCUGGUUCACUGUGAGUCAACCACUUCAAACUUCUUGAUCUUUGAUAAUUGAUUUCCUCUGCCAAGUACAUUGCCAUUACCCUAAGGCGAAUCUUUGAAAAGGAGAACCUAAUUGUCUUGAUGGUCAUUCUAGAGGCAAAACACAAAUUAUGCGGUUGUAUUCACACGCAUGUUAAAGGUUUGCACCCAUCUUUGACUGGGUUAUAUGCCUUCUAACUGGUUACCCCUCCCCCAUCCCAAUCCACUCUCUGCAUCAAAUUCAUGAUGAAAAAAAAAAAAUCCUGACUCUCUUGGAGUUUAAUUUUAACAUUCUCUAACGAUCUAUUCUACUGUAGCAAAACUAAAAAAGUGGUUACAUUUUUAUAUGGGAACAAAACCAAUUUGAUCACUUGAAAUUGUGUUUGUAUCCAGGAUACACAAAAUGUGUUUGAUAAGACAUAUGUUAAAAGUGCAAUGAUUUCUUUCAAGUAAUUUUUUGGACAUAUUCAUAUCAGACGAGUCCCUGCAUUGUAAUAUAGAUGAUCAUAAGAAAGAAGAAUUCGAACCAUUUUUUAAUUAUUACAAAGGAUAAAUAUGAUAUAGAAGUGACUCUA